This 209-nucleotide long non-coding RNA is filed under the name Prunus persica (peach). Its description in RNAcentral is "long non-coding RNA (PPER_LNC002763)". The record is from RNAcentral. Lineage: Eukaryota; Viridiplantae; Streptophyta; Magnoliopsida; Rosales; Rosaceae.
CACGACUCACGGCUGACAGAAACUUCAUCUUUAAAUUCCUAAUCCUCUCAAGAAUACUCUGGCACCUAUGCUGAAGCUUAUUCCCCAUCCAGCCAUCCCGUCACAACCUCGUUUUGAUCUAUCCCUUCUCUAGAAUACCCUAGUCCACAAUUUCAUUGCUCCACUUUUCCUAUGCAUUUCAAUGAUUUCGUUGUUAUCAAGAACAAAAG